UGUUCCUAGCAGGUGGAAUCCACAACUGUUGCAACAAGACGAUUAAGUGGCUUCCUGAGGACACUUGCGGACCGGCUGGAGGGCACCAAAGAAGUGCUUUCCUCAGACAUGAAGAAGGAUUUUAUUAUGCACAGACUCCCCCCUUACUCUGCGGGAGAUGGGGCAGAGCUGUCAACACCAGGUGGAAAGUUACCGAGGCUGGACAGUGUAGUGAGACUGCAGUUUAAAGACCACAUUGUCCUCACAGUACUGCCAGAUCAAGAUCAAUCUGAUGAAGCUCAAGAAAAGAUGGUGUACAUCUAUCAUUCCUUAAAGAAUAGCAGAGAGAUACACAUGAUGGGAAAUGAAGAGGAAACAGAGUCUCAUGGACUUCGCUUCCCUUUGUCACAUUUGGAUGCACUGAAGCAAAUUUGGAACAGUCCAGCUAUUUCUGUCAACGACCUGAAACUUACUACAGAUGAGGAAAAGGAAAGCCUGGUAUUGUCCCUCUGGACAGAAUGUUUAAUUCAAGUAGUCUAGUGCCUUUGCAGAAUCAAAUGCCUACUAUUUUAUAUGCACAUAUUAAAAGAAAAGCAAAGACCUGAGCCGAGGAGAGGAUGAAUUCAAGUUUCCUUACCUGCGUAUCUACUAACAUGAGACCUCCCUGUUACAGGUGGUCAGUUGGCCAAAUGUACUAACGGGCACAUGAAAGAAAGAACAGCAAAUUACCAAGUGUCUCAGAAAAUGACAAAACCAUAUUUUGACAAGUUUAUUUAAUCCAGUGUGGUAGAAAAGGCACAAUUCCAAUGUGUCAUUUAGAAUUGAAUGUCAUUAACCUGGCUUUGUUCUUUGGAAGAAACAACUUCUUUAAAGAGCUUCUUUGGCUCUAGAAAAAUUUCAAACAAUUAAAAUAAGAAAAAAAUUUAAAUUUUUUUUUUACAAUGAAAAUAUACAUACCUUUGUGUAUAGACAAGCCCAUGCCCAUUAAAAUAAAGUUAUCCUGUAAGAUAAAUUUUAUUAAAUAAUACUGCCCCACAGAUGAGAGGCACGCAACACCUAUGGACAAAAGGGAGUUACAGAGGCUGCUUAAAAGAUGGAGAAAAGCCUGAGAUUGAAGGAGGAAAAAACCCAGUAUUUAAAGUCUAUAAAAAAUACUCAAAAUAGUGGGUCUUCGAGUUUAAAAUAGUCAUUGUUAUUUUACAUUCUAAAGUGCAUAUAGGUUGAUAUUUUUUUAAAUAUCAUUGGAGAAUUUAAUCUUUAUAAAAAUAGAGCAUUUUUCUGCUUUCUGGCAAAACUUGGGGAUAAAAGG
RNAcentral lists this small RNA (1288 nucleotides) under Pongo abelii (Sumatran orangutan). Its description in RNAcentral is "retained intron". Lineage: Eukaryota; Metazoa; Chordata; Mammalia; Primates; Hominidae. The record is from RNAcentral.